This 724-nucleotide ribosomal RNA is filed under the name uncultured bacterium. RNAcentral describes it as "bacterial SSU rRNA". It matches the Rfam family "Bacterial small subunit ribosomal RNA", at positions 46 to 779 of the family's 1533-position model. The record is from RNAcentral.
GCUUAACACAUGCAAGUCGAACGAUGAAGCCCGUGCUUGCACGGGUGGAUUAGUGGCGAACGGGUGAGUAUCACGUGAGUGACGGGCCCUUAUCUCUGGGAUAAGCCUGGGAAACUGGGUCUAAUACCGGAUACGACCAGUCACCGCAUGGUGUGCUGGUGGAAAGCUUUUGCGGUUUUGGAUGGACCCGCGCCCUAUCAGCUAUACGGUGGGGUAAUGGCCUACCGUGGCGAUGACGGGUAGCCGGCCUGACAGGGUGACCGGCCACACUGGGACUGAUACACGGCCCAGAAUCUUACGGGAGGCAGCAGUGGGGAAUAUUACACAAUGGGCGAGAGCGAGAAACAGCGACGCCGCGUACGGGAUGCCGGCGUUGGGGUUGUAAACUGCUUUCAGCAGGGAAGGAGUGCAAGUGACGGUACAUGCAGAAGAAGCGCCGGAUAAAUACGUCCCAGCAGCCGCGAUAAUACGUAGGGCGCGAGCGUUAUCCGGAAUUAUUGGGCGUAAAGAGCUUGUAGGCGGUUUAUAGCGUCUGAUGUGAAAGCCCGGGGCUUAACCCGCGGGUGUGCAGUGGGUACGGGCAGACUAGAGUGCAGUACGGGAGACUGGAAUUCCUGGUGUAGCGGUCACCCGCCCAGAUAUCAGGAGCAACACCGAUGGCGAAGGCAGGUUUGUGGGCUAUUACUGACGGUGAGAAGCGAAAGCGUGGGGAGCGNACAGGAUU